AUACCUUUCUCGGCCUUUUGGCUAAGAUCAAGUGUAGUAUCUGUUCUUAUCAGUUUAAUAUCUGAUAUGUGGGCCAUGUGCCCACAACGAUAUUAAAUUUAUUUUUCGUGGGGGAGGGUCCACCACAGUGGCUUGCCGCUGGGGCCCUCGCGUGUCGCCUGGGCGUUGCACUACUGCCCAGGCCUGGCGCACCCCAA
Non-coding RNA from Brachypodium distachyon (stiff brome), 197 nucleotides. NCBI's taxonomy places the organism in Eukaryota, Viridiplantae, Streptophyta, Magnoliopsida, Poales, Poaceae. The record is from Rfam.